GCUUGGUGCUACCUCUUUUCUUUUGUUUGUUAUUUUCUUUGAAUAAGAGGAUUGACAGUUUCUAAAUAUUAUGAAAUGAAUUAUAGAAUGAAAAUGUGAUUGGUAUUAUUUGAAAAGAAAAAAGAUUGAAUGCUGAAAUCUGAUUGUAGUUCAGCAAAGAAAAUGAGUCUGUGUUUGUCUGAAAUACUGUAAUGUGAAUGGCAGUUGUGUGUGAAGAAUUUGAGUGAUUGGAACGAGGAUAAUUGUGUGCUGAAAGUUGUGAGGGCAUAAUAUUACAGUUGGAGAUUAUGAUGAUGAAUAUAUUGGUAGAAAUAGCAGUUAUUGGUAUGAUUGAAUUGCUGUAAGGAAGAGACCGAUAAGGUGAAGGAGGAGAUUAUAGUUUUCUUGUGUGUUCAGAUAUUGAAAAUAGAGACGAUACAUUCAGGAGGUAAUUGAUUGUGUG
Molecule: long non-coding RNA, 442 nt
Filed under: Physcomitrium patens
Lineage: Eukaryota; Viridiplantae; Streptophyta; Bryopsida; Funariales; Funariaceae
Description: long non-coding RNA (PPAT_LNC012630)
Source: RNAcentral